UAGCCAUAUAGGUGCAAAGAGGACACAUUUGAUUGAUUAACCCACGAAAUAUUUGUUUAGGGCAUGCAUGAAUCUAUGUUAAUAUAAAAAAUAAAGGCAAGAUAAUGGGGACGGGCACAACCACCGGUGUAGGUAGAAAGUUGGGAAGGUAAGAUAUAGACGGGAAUUUAAUGUUUAUCUGAAAGCAACGAUAAACUACUGCUUACGCUUAUUGUAAUUUAUGUAUUUAUAUAUACAGAUAUAUACAACUAUAGAUAUCCGACUGCCUAUGCCCUCUAGUGAAAAUGUUGAAGUUAAUAAAAUGGAGGUUUUUUUUUUAU
Non-coding RNA from Cinara cedri, 320 nucleotides. The record is from the annotation of a GenBank genome assembly. Lineage: Eukaryota; Metazoa; Arthropoda; Insecta; Hemiptera; Aphididae.